GGAAAUGCAAAUCAAAGCCACUACACACCCACAAGAAUGGGUAUAAUGCACCGCUCCAUGUGCGUCCCUCCCGAAGCUGUGUGCUCGGUGGAAGAGGACUGAAGAGGAUGACCAUCCCCAUUAGAGGAGGAUGGUUCUUCAGUCAAGGGUAUAUGAGUAACUGUGCUCCCCUGCUAGAACCUCCAAAUAAGCUCUCAAGAAAUAUAAUUUAAAAAUAACUUAUGAGUAAAAGGGAAUUAUAAUAGAGAUUAUAAAAUAUUUUUAACCAGUCAUAAAU
This is a non-coding RNA of Canis lupus familiaris (dog), 277 nucleotides long. Lineage: Eukaryota; Metazoa; Chordata; Mammalia; Carnivora; Canidae. The record is from Rfam.